UCAGACCCGAAUCUGACAAAUAGAGCUUGCGUUGGAAGCAAGCCUCGGCUGAUAGGGGAGAAGAGCUUACAUAUUAAAAUGAUAUGUAAAUUGACAAAACACGUGGACACGCGGAUCGGUUUCAUUCCAACAGGCGGACAGAAUGUCAACUCCGAGCGCUUUUUUUUUUUUUGGUGGUGGUGUUCUCAGUAACUUAUUUUUUAUUUUAUUUAUAUAUAUAUAUACUACCUCAUUAAAUCGGAUGGGAUGUCGCCAUAUAUGAACCUCCCUAUUUUUCGUUAGUGUUAGGUCGCUUUGAAAAUAUAGGGUGUUUGAUUAGCUGCAGUCUGGUGUUAAUAAUAGAGGCGUUUGGGAGGAUCUGACCCGCCUGAUUCAAGGGGGACCCCUCACGCCCCAAAAUAAGUAAAAGGUCAUAUACUUUACAGGUAUAACUGCUUUAACAAUGUUUUCAAAGGUUCCAUACAGGUUAGAUGGCUUAUUUUUACCUGUCUACAAAUAGACACCAACAGAAAUAAUAUUAGCCCAAUGGGUCACCACAAAAACAGAUAUGCUGCUGGUGCUCUUUCUGUUAGGAUCUCACAAGAUUACUGGCCCAGCUCUUCCCAAAACGCUAACUAACUAGGCCAAGCUGGCCCAGGAGUUGCAGACAGAGCAUUAAAGGAAACUGAAGAACAACAAACUGGACAUUAACCAGUCAGGUUUUAGGAGUGGCCAUUCAACUGAGACUCCCCUACUGUCAGUCAUGGCCUGCAGAUUGCAAAAGCUGAUUCUAAAUCAUCAGUUCUUAUUCUGCUGGAUCCAUCUGCUGCUUUUGACACUGUCAGUCAACAGAUCUUCCUUUCUGUCCUCUCAUCACUGAG
Carassius gibelio (silver crucian carp) is the source of this 860-nucleotide long non-coding RNA. RefSeq lists it as uncharacterized. NCBI's taxonomy places the organism in Eukaryota, Metazoa, Chordata, Actinopteri, Cypriniformes, Cyprinidae. The record is from RefSeq and is a predicted model, not a curated record. The transcript is spliced from 3 exons.